Triticum aestivum (bread wheat) is the source of this 1951-nucleotide long non-coding RNA. RefSeq lists it as uncharacterized. Lineage: Eukaryota; Viridiplantae; Streptophyta; Magnoliopsida; Poales; Poaceae. The transcript has 4 exons. The record is from RefSeq and is a predicted model, not a curated record.
UUGCGUUGAGAAGGUGCCAUUCAUGAAAAGGACUCUUAGUAAUAUUUGUGGAAAGAUUAGUCGUGAACAAGCUGUGGAUGAUGUAAGGAAGACGCUGGAGGUGUUUGCUGACAUCCGUUCUACUGACCCUGGCUUCACCUAUGUGGUUUUGACUGACAAGUCCAUCAAGGUUAAAAGUCUCAUGUGGGCUAAUGGGAGCAGAAAAAUGCAAUACAAGUUAUUUGGUGAUGUGGUCACAUUCGACACUACAUACAGGAUAAACCUUUAUGACAUGCCGUUUGGGUUAUUGUCGGAGUUAACAACCAUUUUCAGAUCAUUAUUCUGGCAGGGGUGUUGAUGCGGGAUGAACAAGAAGAAAGCUUUCAAUGGGUUUUCGCGGAUGAUGGGAGGCCGUGCCCCAAAGAGAAUACUCACAGACCAAUGCAGGGCUAUGGAGAUGUCGAUCAGUAAGAUUUAUCCAGCUACUGUUCACCGGUGGUGCAGGUGGCAUGUUCUGAAGAAAGCGAAGGAAACCCUGGGACUGCUAUACACGAAGAAGAGCGACUUCCAGGCUGAAUUUCAAAAGGUUGUGAACCACAUGCUAACUCAAGAUGAGUUUGAGGCGGCUUGGGGCUUGUUGUUGGAUAAAUGUAAUCUGAGGAAGCACACGUACAUGACCCAAAUAUAUGAAACCAGGAAAAAGUGGGCACAACCGUACUUCAAGGGUGUGUUUUGCGCAAAAAUAAUGAGCACCCAACGCACUAAGAGUGCAAACCAUGUGUUGAAGAGAUGUGCAUGCCUCCUGCUAGCCCAAUGCAUGUUUUCGUAGGCAGUACAUGAGGUUGCAAUUUGACCGCGAGGGUGAGGAAAGCUACGAGGAAAAGAGGACAAUGAUUGGCGGAGCCGUAAGGAGAACCAACCUUUGCAAUAGAGUGGCACACAAGCAAAAUCUACACUAGAAAUAUGUUUGAGGAAUUUGGCCACCUCCUAAUUGAAGGGAUGGCAUACAAUGUCACUGAAGUGGAGAGGUUCAGGAAAUAUAUAAUAACUCACAACAAUGCAGCAAAAAGAGAAAAAUGGAGCAGGGUUGAGUACGAGGUGACCAUAAACGAGACCAAUCAGUAUUCACUUGCGAGUGUGGCCAGUUUGAGCACACUGGGAUGUUGUGCAGCCAUGUCUUGAGGGUCAUGGAUAUACUUCAUCUGGAGGAAAUCUCUAAGCACCAUAUUGUCGAGCGGUGGACAAAAGAGGCAAGAGAUAUACUUCUGAAGCACUUGGUUCAGUACCAGAAAGACAAUUCAGCAAACUUGUCAUUCACAUGCAGAAGCGCGAAGCUAUACCUUAAAGCCAUGGAAGUCAUGCGGAUGGGCGAUGCAAGUGCUGCAUCUUUUGAUCACAUGUAUGCUGGUCUCGAAGCUCUGCUAGUGAGUGGAGCACCAUUGGCAGAGAAGAGGGAUGGGUUGGCAUUUGAGGACCGUUUGGAUGGAACGGUAGGUGGAAGACUGCAAGGCAACGUCGAGAUUGCUUUUGUUGAAGGAGACGAUGGUGCUGACCAGUGCCAUAGUGGUGGGCAAUCUGUUAGUGUGAAUGCCCUCCAGGGCUUGGAGCUCCAAACAAGCAUAGGGGGCCGGAAGGCCAACAAACAACAGGGGGAAGGCACCUUAUGAAGGUCUAAGUAAACGAACCAGAUUCUGCAGAAUUUGUCGUCACGAAGGUCAUGAAAAGACCACGUGCCAGAGAGAGGGGUUGUGCCAAAAAACCCGGUGAAACCUAGGAAAUGCAAGAACUGCGGGAUAGAAGGCCAUCAACGAAAUACAUGCAAGAGGCCACUGGGUGUUGAUGAGAACUGAGCUAUGAAUUUUCAGUUUGUAAUGCGUGUUGUUGUUUAAUCUGGGGAUUUUCUAGUGUGUUUCAGUUGAGCACUGCUCCACGCUUGUACCUCAAUCUGCAGGGGCGUGUUUCAUGAUGUAUC